This is a long non-coding RNA of Oncorhynchus keta (chum salmon), 3894 nucleotides long. RefSeq lists it as uncharacterized. The record is from RefSeq and is a predicted model, not a curated record. The transcript is spliced from 3 exons. NCBI's taxonomy places the organism in Eukaryota, Metazoa, Chordata, Actinopteri, Salmoniformes, Salmonidae.
GUGAACACCAGACGGGCUGCGGCGUUCUGGAUGAGUUGUAGGGGUUUAAUGGCACAGGCAGGGAGCCCAGCCAACAGCGAGUUGCAGUAAUCCAGACGGGAGAUGACAAGUGCCUGGAUUAGGACCUGCGCCGUUUCCUGUGUGAGGCAGGGUCGUACUCUGCGGAUGUUGUAGAGCAUGAACCUACAGGAACGGGCCACCGCCUUGAUGUUAGUUGAGAACGCCAAGGUUCUUAGCGCUCUGGGAGGAGGACACAUAGACUGCAUCCAAUUUGCUGAGUAGAGUGUUGGAGGCUAUUUUGUAAAUGACAUCGCCAAAGUCAAGGAUUGGUAGGAUAGUCAGUUUUAUGAGGGUAUGUUUGGCAGCAUGAGUGAAGGAUGCUUUGAUGUUGAAUAGGAAGCCGAUUCUAGAUUUUUUUGGAUUGGAGAUGCUUAAUGUGAGUCUGGAAGGAGAGUUUACAGUCUAGCCAGACACCUAGGUACUUGUAGUUGUCCACAUAUUCUAAGUCAGAACCGUCCAGAGUAGUGAUGCUGGACGGGCGGGCAGGAGCGGGCAGCGAUCGGUCGAAGAGCAUGGAUUUAGUUUUAAUUGCAUUUAAGAGCCGUUGGAGGCCACGGAAGGAGAGUUGUAUGGCAUUGAAGCUCGUCUGGAGAUUAGUUAACACAGUGUCCAAAGAAGGGCCAGAUGUAUACAGGAUGGUGUUGUCUGCGUAGAGGUGGAUCAGAGAAUCACCAACAGCAAGAGCGACCUCAUUGAUGUAUACAGAGAAGAGAGUCGGUCCAAGAAUUGAACCCUGUGGCACCCCCAUAGAGACUGCCAGAGGUCCGGACAACAGGCCCUCCGAUUUGACACACUGAACUCUGUCUGAUAAGUAGUUGGUGAACCAGGCGAGGCAGUCAUUUGAGAAACCAAGGCUGUUGAGUCUGCCGAUAAGAAUGUGGUGAUUGACAGAGUCGAAAGCAUUGGCCAGGUCGAUGAAGACGGCUGCACAGUAUUGUCUCUUAUCGAUGGCGGUUAUGAUAUCGUUUAGCGUGGCUGAGGUGCACCCAUGACCAGCUCUGAAACCAGAUUGCAUAGCGGAGAAGGUACGCUGGGAUUCGAAAUGGUCGGUGUCUGUUUGUGAACUUGGCUUUCGAAGACCUUAGAAAGGCAGGGUAGGAUAGAUAUAGGGGGAGGGGUACAGGGCUGUUGUAGUUUGGGUCUGGAGUGUCAUGACAGCGGCAGCUUGAAGAGGGGGAUGACCGCAGCUGCUUUCCAAUCUUUGGGGAUCUCAGACGAUACGAAAGAGAGGUUGAACAGGCUAUUAUUAGGGGUUGCAACAAUUUCGCUGGAUAAUUUUAGAAAGAGAGGGUCCAGAUUGUCUAGCCCAGCUGAUUUGUAGGGGUCCAGAUUUUGCUGCUCUUUCAGAACAUCAGCUAUCUGAAUUUGGGUGAAGGAAAAUGGGGGAGGCUUGGGCAAGUUGCUGUGGGGGGCGCAGGGCUGUUGACCGGGGUAGGGGUAGCCAGGUGGAAAGCAUGGCCAGCCAUAGAAAAAUGCUUGUUGAAAUUCUCAGUUAUCGGUGUUGACAGUGUUUCCUAGCCUCAGUGCAGUGGGUAGCUGGGAGGAGGUGCUCUUAUUCUCCAUGGACUUUACAGUGUCCCGGAACCUUUUUGAGUUUGUGCUGCAGGAUGCACAUUUCUGUUUGAAAAAGCUAGCCUUAGCUUUCCUAACUGCCUGUGUGUAUUGGUUUCUAACUUCCCUAAAGAGUUAGCCUGCCUUGGAGCAGGUUAGUUCUGGAUACAGGAUAAACAGAGUUAGCCCUGAGUUAGCCUGCCCUGGAGCAGGUUAGUUCUGGAUACAGGAUAAACAGAGUUAGCCCUGAGUUAGCCUGCCCUGGACCAGGUUAGUUCUGAAUGCAGGAUAAACAGAGUUAGCCCUGAGUUAGCCUGCCCUGGAGCAGGUUAGUUCUGGAUACAGGAUAAACAGAGUUAGCCCUGAGUUAGCCUGCCCUGGACCAGGUUAGUUCUGAAUGCAGGAUAAACAGAGUUAGCCCUGAGUUAGCCUGCCCUGGAGCAGGUUAGUUCUGGAUACAGGAUCAACAGAGUUAGCUAGUCUGCCCUGGACCAGGUUAGUUCGGGAUACAGGAUAAACAGAGUUAGCCCUGAGUUAGCCUGCCCUGGACCAGGUUAGUUCUGAAGGAUCCGUUGCCAUAGAAAUGUACCUGGCUAAAAGGCGAGCCACUAUCGUAUGACCGCUUAUCCCGAGUUGAACUCAGAGUUGACCAAAGGUACCUUGCUAACUCCUCAAACCCACUACGUAGUAUAUAUCCCUCAAGGUCCCAGAUCUAUGUAGUAUAUAUCCCUCAGGGUCCAGAUCUACGUAGUAUAUAUCCCUCAAGGUCCCAGAUCUAUGUAGUAUAUAUCCCUUAAGGUUCCAGAUCUAUGUAGUAUAUAUCCCUCAAGGUCCCAGAUCUACGUAGUAUAUAUCCAUCAAGGUCCCAGAUCUACGUAGUAUAUAUCCCUCAAGGUCCCAGAUCUAUGUAGUAUAUAUCCUUCAAGGUCCCAGAUCUACGUAGUAUAUAUCCAUCAAAGUCCCAGAUCUACAUAGUAUAUAUCCCUCAAGGUCCCAAAUCUACGUAGUAUAUAUCCCCCAGGGUCCCAGAUCUACGUAGUAUAUAUCCCUCAAGGUCCCAAAUCUACGUAGUAUAUAUCCCUCAAGGUCCCAGAUCUACGUAGUAUAUAUCCCUCAAGGUCCCAGAUCUAUGUAGUAUAUAUCCCUCAAGGUCCCAAAUCUACGUAGUAUAUAUCCCCCAGGGUCCCAGAUCUAUGUAGUAUAUAUCCCUCAGGGUCCAGAUCUACGUAGUAUAUAUCCCUCAAGGUCCCAGAUCAAUGUAGUAUAUAUCCCUCAAGGUCCCAGAUCUAUGUAGUAUAUAUCCCUCAGGGUCCAGAUCUACGUAGUAUAUAUCCCUCAAGGUCCCAGAUCUAUGUAGUAUAUAUCCCUUAAGGUUCCAGAUCUAUGUAGUAUAUAUCCCUCAAGGUCCCAGAUCUAUGUAGUAUAUAUCCAUCAAGGUCCCAGAUCUACGUAGUAUAUAUCCCUCAAGGUCCCAGAUCUACGUAGUAUAUAGUCCUCAAGGUCCCAGAUCUACGAAGUAUAUAUCCCUCAAGGUCCCAGAUCUAUGUAGUAUAUAUCCCUCAAGGUCCCAGAUCUACGUAGUAUAUAGUCCUCAAGGUCCCAGAUCUACGUAGUAUAUAUCCCUCAAGGUCCAAGAUCUAUGUAGUAUAUAUCCCUCAAGGUCCCAGAUCUAUGUAGUAUAUAUCCCUCAAGGUCCCAGAUCUACGUAGUAUAUAUCCAUCAAGGUCCCAGAUCUACGUAAUAUAUAUAUCCCUCAAGGUCCCAGAUCUAUGUAGUAUAUAUCCUUCAAGGUCCCAGAUCUACAUAGUAUAUAUCCAUCAAAGUCCCAGAUCUACGUAGUAUAUAUCCCUCAAGGUCCCAAAUCUACGUAGUAUAUAUCCCCCAGGGUCCCAGAUCUAUGUAGUAUAUAUCCCUCAGGGUCCAGAUCUACGUAGUAUAUAUCCCUCAAGGUCCCAGAUCAAUGUAGUAUAUAUCCCUCAAGGUCCCAGAUCUAAGUAGUAUAUAUCCCUCAAGGUCCCAGAUCUACGUAGUAUAUAACCCUCAAGGUCCCAGAUCUACGUAGUAUAUAUCCCUCAAGGUCCCAGAUCUACGUAGUAUAUAUCCCUCAAGGUCCCAGAUCUACGUAGUAUAUAUCCCUCAAGAUCCCAGAUCUACGUAGUAUAUAUCCCUCAAGGACCCAGGUCUAGAUGUCUUGCAAUCUCUUACUAUUCAUUGUCAUGCCAAACUGGAUUUGGCUAUGCGGCACAAACAGAUCUGGGAUCAGGCUAACUGCACACAUCGUGU